AUGAACGCUGGCGGCGUGCUAACACAUGCAAGUCGAACGAAGCACCUCUAAUCGAAGAUUGAGAAAGCUUGCCUUUGAUUGAUUCACCGUUGAGGUGACUGAGUGGCGGACGGGUGAGUAACGCGUGGGUAACCUACCCUAUACAGGGGGAUAACAGUUGGAAACGACUGCUAAUACCGCAUAAGCGCACAGGACCGCAUGGUCUAGUGUGAAAAAACUCCGGUGGUAUAGGAUGGACCCCGCGUCUGAUUAGCUAGUUGGUGAGGUAACGGCUCACCAAGGCGACGAUCAGUAGCCGACCUGAGAGGGUGACCGGCCACAUUGGGACUGAGACACGGCCCAAACUCCUACGGGAGGCAGCAGUGGGGAAUAUUGCACAAUGGGCGAAAGCCUGAUGCAAGCGACGCCGCGUGAACGAAGAAGUAUCUCGGUAUGUAAAGUUCUAUCAGCAGGGAAGAAAAAUGACGGCACCUGACUAAGAAGCUCCGGCUAAAUACGUGCCAGCCGCAGC
RNAcentral lists this ribosomal RNA (511 nucleotides) under uncultured bacterium. RNAcentral's name for it is "bacterial SSU rRNA". It matches the Rfam family "Bacterial small subunit ribosomal RNA", at positions 29 to 518 of the family's 1533-position model. The record is from RNAcentral.